Long non-coding RNA from Pteropus alecto (black flying fox), 3025 nucleotides. RefSeq lists it as uncharacterized. The transcript has 3 exons. NCBI's taxonomy places the organism in Eukaryota, Metazoa, Chordata, Mammalia, Chiroptera, Pteropodidae. The record is from RefSeq and is a predicted model, not a curated record.
GAAACAAGAAACAAUUAUUUGAGUGAUUUCAGAUGUUUCGUGGUGCCAACACUGAAAACACUGAUACCCACUGCUAAAAUGCAGCCUUUAUGAAAUACAUGUAGUAAAGUGCCAGGCCUCCCAGGCUAGUAAUUGCUUCAGUCCUGCUCACUGAAAGAGUUAUUCAAUGUCUGUCGAUAUGGACCAUAGUUGUUAAUGCCAUUGCCAAGAAUUACAAAGUGAAAUAAAGAUAGAUCCCCUAUCUGAAGAUGUAAGAGAAGGAAGCAAUAGACUGAUUCUGCCCCAUCAUUUUCAUGGAGAGCAAAGGUAAAGAGCUGACUGUUUCCCUUUGUCCUAAGCCUGUACUUAAUAUCUUGAUUGGGUAUCAAGAUUAUUUAUAAGUGGAAUUAUUUUCUCAAUGUAUUCCAUUUUCCUUGUGGCUGAUCUAAGUGUACAAGCUUAUUGCUUUGUUAUAAAGCUUUGAUUUUACCUGGUUUAGUUCAUGAGUCUGACUCUUCAGCUAGAUUUGUUUUUUUGUUGUUGUUGGGGAAUGAUCAGGGAAAAUAGGACAAAUGCUAAACUAAUUAUAGACUAUGUCCGCUGAGAAAUGCUUUUAUUAUAUAUGGUGGAGAGAGAAAAGAAUGGGGAAUAACAUUUACAUAAUCAUUAAUUGGUAUGUAUUUUAACCACACAUUUCAGCUUCCAAAGUCUUGCUUUCCAAUCUUCUAGAAAUAGUAGCUAAAGGCAACAUGUACUGUGUUAGUCUAAGUAAUUGGAAAUGAACAGUUCAUAACUAUUUUAUAAAGGUGUCGCUUAUUUAUGGGAUUGCAUAAAAAAAAUUUAGAUUCACUACAAGGAACUGCUCCCCCCCCUUCUUUUUUCAUAGAAUGGAGAUGUUACAGUAAAUAACAGGAAAAUAAAAGGCCUUUUAUUUAGGCAAAGAUGUACAGUGACUUGAGGCUUUCUAGCUCUAUCAAUUUUCUCAGUGGGAGGAGAGAUUCUCAAGAAGAGAAUUAGCAAUUGAUGAGCCCCACUGGCAGGCUCAGUGGGGACAACCUAUGGAGCGGAGAGGCUCACCUAUGGGGCAGAGAGGCUCUGAAUUCUAUAGAACUUUUAAAACUGAAAACCAUGCCUUUAUUGUGUCCUACAGAUGAAAUAAUGAAAUAUAAAGACAAUUUUUACUACAGAAUAGAUGACUACCUUCUCUUAGGAGCACCUCUGCUCAGAACAACUGGUGGGGCUGGCAUCAGAUCUACUAAGCAAAGUAGAAGAAUCCUGAGUUUCUUAGGGAAGAGUCUUAUCAAAGAGGAAGAGGCACCAUCUGGCCAACUAAAUCAGGUACUUAUUCAUUUAGUUCAUUUACUUAAACCUACUCUGGCUCAAACCAGUCCAUGCUUCCUAUUAGGAAGAAAUGAUUCAGAAACAUGCAUUUAAAUUAGAAUUAAAACCUGGAAUUUUACUUGUAUUGAUUGGGAAACUCACCAUCAUUUUUAUGAAAGUGAUACAAAAUAUGUCAUUCACUUGCUAAAUAUAGUAGUAAAAUGUGUGGAUCAAAUUUUACUUACAGUGAAUUCUAAAGAACUUGUGUCCUGAUCUGCUUUUUAAUAGCAGAAAUUAUGUUUCAUGGAAUGGGUGUUAAAAUGGUAUUUCAUGAAGCUUGGAAGUACUUUGGCUAUAUUGUUUAAUUUUCUUAUUAUUAAGGUUUGUUUAUUUACUUAUUUUUUUAAUUAUAAAAGGUAUCACAAGAAAUAGGAUUUGGCUUCCAUUAAAAAAAUUGCUAGCUGAGAAAAAACAUGAUUUUUUUGGUUUGUCCCUAUCAUGCUCACCUCUCUCACUCCUGCCGAAAGCUAGUCUGAUGCUGUCCUUUCCUUCUGCCCUGAUAUACUACUUUUGGACUUUCCAGACUUAUUUUAGAUUCCUUCUGGGUACUGUUCGAAGAACUUUGUAUCAACUCAUUAAAGCCACACAGCAAUUAUUACCUGUAUUUUACAGUUGAAGAAACCUAAUCACAGAUGAAGGAUACACAGCUUACAAGCAGGCACACUUGGAAACAAUUCCUGACAGCAAGACUGGAUUCCUAGCUCAUUUCCCACACAUCUGGAUCUGUCUUAAAAGUUAUACACAGUGCACAUGAAGGACAGCUCUGCCACUGGGCAGGAGGGGGCCCUUUCCUCCCGAUGAAGAGUGAUGAGCAGAGACUAGACUGGAGCCCUGAGGUGGAUGUGGGGAGGCUGGAUCUAGGACAGCAGAGAAAAGUUUGGGAUGUUGUGGUACCUAGCUGGCCCUGCUGCCUAUCAGUUGCAGUCUGUGCUUAUUUAUAUUACCUGGAAAGCUGGCAGAAAGCCGCCCAGAUACAAAAGUAACAGCUUGCGCAAGACUACUUGGUAGCCUAUGCAUCCAGUGUGACAACUGGAGAAGUGGCUUGUAUGCAGAAAUGUAGCCUGCAGCUUGCUGUUGUUAGGAUCAGGCUGAACAGUCUCAAAGGGGACACUUUCCUGGUUCCAGCCCACUGUCUUUCCUCACCCUUCCAUCCUAGGUCUCUCCUAUUACCUCUCAGUUCCUAUUUUAGGAUGAGUUCUCUGACACCUUUGGGCUUCUGCUUAUAUCAUUCCUUCUGAUAAGAACAUCCCGCCCACCUCACACCCACCUCCCUCACCUGGCCAUCCUGUUCCUGGAAAACUGGAGGCCCCCACACACUAUAUCCAGCCUGAAGAGCUCUUUUGUUUAGCCAGCAAUGUGGCUUUAAAGUCAUGAGACUUCAUUGGAUAAAUCCAGCUUGUUUUACAAACUGGAAGAUGCACCAAUAUUGUGACCUGCUCACUGCCGCAUGGCAAUAAUGAACUGGAUUGAAGGAGCAGCUGUCCCCAUUAGAUGAGACAUAAACAUUAAAUUUUUCCACAAUCUUCACCACUCCCCAUUGUAUUUUGGCUUUAUACCUCUGGUACACUGUACCUUUUCUGAAUUUCUAUUUUUAUUCUAAUUAUACUGCUAUCAAAAUGAUUUAUUUGCACAUUGCUCUUCCUUAUUAAACUUGGGGUUAAAUCUG